AGGACAAACGCUGGCGGCGUGCCUAAGACAUGCAAGUCGAACGGUGGGGCUUGCCCCACAGUGGCGGACGGGUGAGGAACGCGUGGGCAACCUGCCCCGGGGUGGGGGAUAACACUCAGAAAUGGGUGCUAAGACCGCAUACGAGUGGGGGACGGAAGGUUCCUUAGGGAAAAGCCUUUGGGCUGCCCUGGGAGGGGCCCGCGUCGGAUUAGCUAGUUGGUGUGGUAACGGCGCACCAAGGCCGCGAUCCGUAGCUGGUCUGAGAGGACGACCAGCCACACUGGGACUGAGACACGGCCCAGACUCCUACGGGAGGCAGCAGUUAGGGAAUUUUCACAAUGGGCGCAAGCCUGAUGGAGUGACGCCGCGUGCAGGACGACGCCUUUCGGGGUGUAAACUGCUUUUCUUCGGGACGAGAACGGACGGUACCGGAGGAAGAAGCCUCGGCUAACUACGUGCCAGCAGCCGC
Molecule: ribosomal RNA, 469 nt
Filed under: uncultured bacterium
Lineage: Bacteria
Description: SSU rRNA
Rfam family: Bacterial small subunit ribosomal RNA
Source: RNAcentral